RNAcentral lists this ribosomal RNA (439 nucleotides) under uncultured bacterium. Its description in RNAcentral is "partial 16S ribosomal RNA". It matches the Rfam family "Bacterial small subunit ribosomal RNA", at positions 339 to 795 of the family's 1533-position model. The record is from RNAcentral.
CUACGAGGUGCUCCAGUGAGGAAUAUUGCACAAUGGGGGGAACCCUGAUGCAGCAACGCCGCGUGGAGGAUGACGCAUUUCGGUGUGUAAACUCCUUUUAUAUGUCAAGAAAAUGACGGUAGCAUAUGAAUAAGCACCGGCUAACUCCGUGCCAGCAGCCGCGGUAAUACGGAGGGUGCAAGCGUUACUCGGAAUCACUGGGCGUAAAGGACGCGUAGGCUGGUUGGUAAGUCAGGUGUGAAAUCCUACAGCUUAACUGUAGAACUGCACUUGAAACUACCAACCUAGAGUAUGGGAGGGGGAGAUGGAAUUAGUGGUGUAGGGGUAAAAUCCGUAGAUAUCACUAGGAAUACCGAAAGCGAAGGCGAUCUCCUGGAACAUAACCGACGCUAAGGCGUGAAAGCGUGGGGAGCAAACAGGAUUAGAUACCCGUGUAGUC